CCUACGGGCGGCAGCAGUGAGGAAUAUUGGUCAAUGGACGAGAGUCUGAACCAGCCAAGUCGCGUGAAGGAUGACUGCCCUAUGGAUUGUAAACUUCUUUUAUCUGGGAAUAAAGUGUUCCACGUGUGGGGUUUUGUGUGUACCAUAUGAAUAAGGAUCGGCUAACUCCGUGCCAGCAGCCGCGGUAAUACGGAGGAUUCGAGCGUUAUCCGGAUUUAUUGGGGUUAAAGGGAGCGUAGGUGGAUUGUUAAGUCAGUUGUUAAAGUUUGGGGCUCAACCGUAAAAUUGCAGUUGAAACUGGCGGUCUUGAGUACAGUAGAGGUGGGCGGAAUGCGUGGUGUAGCGGUGAAAUGCUUAGAUAUCACGAAGAACUCCGAUUGCGAAGGCAGCUCACUGGACUGCAACUGACACUGAGGCUCGAAAGUGUGGGUAUCAAACAGGAUUAGAUACCCCAGUAGUC
RNAcentral lists this ribosomal RNA (460 nucleotides) under uncultured bacterium. RNAcentral describes it as "partial 16S ribosomal RNA". It matches the Rfam family "Bacterial small subunit ribosomal RNA", at positions 338 to 795 of the family's 1533-position model. The record is from RNAcentral.